Molecule: ribosomal RNA, 205 nt
Filed under: uncultured bacterium
Lineage: Bacteria
Description: partial 16S ribosomal RNA
Rfam family: Bacterial small subunit ribosomal RNA
Source: RNAcentral
GGAUUGAAGGCUGAAAUUCGCCUUAUGAAGCCGGAAUUGCUAGUAAUGGCAGGUCAGCAUACUGCCGUGAAUACGUUCCCGGGCCUUGUACACACCGCCCGUCACACCAUGAGAGUUGGAAAUACCCGAAGCCUGUGAGCUGACCGUAAGGGGGCAGCAGUCGAAGGUAGAGCCAAUGAUUGGGGUGAAGUCGUAACAAGGUACC